Molecule: ribosomal RNA, 465 nt
Filed under: Vreelandella stevensii
Lineage: Bacteria; Pseudomonadati; Pseudomonadota; Gammaproteobacteria; Oceanospirillales; Halomonadaceae
Description: partial 16S ribosomal RNA
Rfam family: Bacterial small subunit ribosomal RNA
Source: RNAcentral
CCUACGGGAGGCAGCAGUGGGGAAUAUUGGACAAUGGGGGGAACCCUGAUCCAGCCAUGCCGCGUGUGUGAAGAAGGCCCUCGGGUUGGAAAGCACUUUCAGUGAGGAAGAACGCCUGGUGGUUAAUACCCAUCAGGAAAGACAUCACUCACAGAAGAAGCACCGGCUAACUCCGUGCCAGCAGCCGCGGUAAUACGGAGGGUGCGAGCGUUAAUCGGAAUUACUGGGCGUAAAGCGCGCGUAGGUGGCUUGAUAAGCCGGUUGUGAAAGCCCCGGGCUCAACCUGGGAACGGCAUCCGGAACUGUCAAGCUAGAGUGCAGGAGAGGAAGGUAGAAUUCCCGGUGUAGCGGUGAAAUGCGUAGAGAUCGGGAGGAAUACCAGUGGCGAAGGCGGCCUUCUGGACUGACACUGACACUGAGGUGCGAAAGCGUGGGUAGCAAACAGGAUUAGAUACCCUUGUAGUC